UCGGACGUGGUGUAGCGACACGGCCUCUUUGAAUAAUUUGGUCGGCGACUCAUUGUUAGAGGCAGUCCUGGGUUCGAUUCCCGGCGUCCGAG
This is a non-coding RNA of Mycena leptocephala, 92 nucleotides long. The record is from the annotation of a GenBank genome assembly. NCBI's taxonomy places the organism in Eukaryota, Fungi, Basidiomycota, Agaricomycetes, Agaricales, Mycenaceae.